GCUUCCCUAUGGCACUGGAUCCCCGCUUCCCCAUGGCAUUGGGUCCACAGUUUCCUGUGGCACCAGAUCCCCGGUUCCCCACCGCAUUGCCACCCCCGACAGCCUGUGGCAUCGGCUCCCCAGUUCCCCAUGGCAUCGGAUCACCAGUUCUCUGUGGUGCUGGAUCCUCAGUUCCGUACGGUGUCACCCCCCUGGUUCCCUGUGGUAUCGGAUCCCCGCUUCCCCCUGGCAUUGGAUCCCCAGUUCCCUUAUGGCAUCGAGUCCUUGGUUUCCUAUGGCCCUGGAUCCCCGGUUGCCUGUGGCACCAGAUCCCCGGUUCUCCAUGGCCUCGGACCCUCAGUUCCCCACAGCCUUGGGUCCCCGGUUCCUGGUGGCAUCAGAUCCCCAGUUCCCAGUGGCACUGGGUCCCUGGUUCCUCACGGCCUUGAUUCCCCAGUUCCUCAUGGCGUUGGAUCCCUGGUGCCCCACAGCCUCGGAUCCCCUGUGCCCCACGGCCUCAGCUCCCCAUUUCCCCACAGCCUUGGAUCCCUGGUUCCCCACGACCUUGGAUACCCAGUUCCUGAUGGCAUCAGAUCCCCCGGUUCCUGGUGGCAUUAGGUCCCCAGUUCCCCAUGGCCUCAGAUCCCCUGUGCCCCACAGCCUCAGGUCCCCAGUUCCCCACAGCCUUGGGUCCCCGGUUCCCCACGGCUUUGGAUCCCUGCUUCCCCACGGCUUUGGAUCCCUGCUUCCCCACGGCUUUGGAUCCCUGCUUCCCCACAGUGUUGGAUUCCCAGUUCCCUAUGGCCUCAGGUCCCCAGUUCCCCAUGGCAUUGGAUCCCUGUUUCCCCACAGCCUUGGAUCCUCGUUUCCCCACAACCUCAAAUCCCCGGUUCCUCACAUCCCCAGGUCCCUGGUGCCCCCUGGCUUUGGAUCCCCUGUUCCCCACGGCCUCGAGUCCCCAAUUCAUCAUGGUCUCGGAUCCCCAGUUCCUCACAUGUGUGGGUCCCUGGUUCCCCAUGGCGUCGGAUCCCAGGUUCCCUGUGGCCUCGGGUCCCCAGUUCCCCACAUCCUUGGGUCCCCAGAUCCCCACAUGCUUGGGUCCCCAGUGCCCCAUGGCCUCAGGUCCCCAAUUCCCGGUGGCAUCAGAUCCCUGGUUCCCAGUGGCCUUGGGUCCCCGGUUCCCCAUGGCUUUGGAUCCCCAGUUCCCUCUGGCGUUGGCCCCCCCAUUUCCCCACGGCCUCGCUCCCAGUUUCCCCACGGCGUUGGAUCCCCGCUUCCCGGUGGCGUCGGGUCCCCAGUUGGAGAUCUUGGAUCUCUUCUCCAGUCUGCUGCCCCGGACCCACAGCGUCCUCAGCCCCCCAAGCAGUGAGAUGGGGAAGCGGGGUGCGUGGGGGUGGGCUGUGCGCCAGGAGAGGCAGAGUCCCG
This 1404-nucleotide long non-coding RNA is filed under the name Numida meleagris (helmeted guineafowl). Its description in RNAcentral is "lncRNA (ENSNMEG00000000172.1)". The record is from RNAcentral. Lineage: Eukaryota; Metazoa; Chordata; Aves; Galliformes; Numididae.